GAAUUAAACCAAACAUAGAAUGAAUGUUCCUUAUGGAGUGCUGACCAAGUGUUGUUACUUUGUAGCUGAUCCAUUAUCCAAGAUGGCCGCCAGCGGGGGACUUAGUUUAACAUAGGACCCUAUUGGAAAUGCAUACAAAUCACUUCUUCUAGUGAACCACUGAAUGGAAUGAAACCAAACAUGGCAUGAAUGUUCCUUAUGUGGUGCUGACCAAGUGUUGUUACUUUGUAGCCGAUCCAUCAUCCAAGAUGGCCGCCAGCGUGGGACUUAGUUUAACAUAGGACCCUAUGGGAAAUGCAUACAAAUGACUUCUUUUAGAGAACCACUGAAUGGAAUGAAAUCAAACAUGGCAUGAAUGUUCCUAAUGUGGUGCUGACCAAGUGUUGUUACUUUGUAGUCGAUCCAUUAUCCAAGAUUGCCGCCAGCGGGGGACUUAGUUUAACAUAGGACCCUAUGGGAAAUGCAUACAAAUGACUUCUUUUAGAGAACCACUGAAUGGAAUAAAACCAAACAUUGCAUGAAUGUUCCUUAUGAGGUGCUGACCAAGUGUUGUUACUUUGUAGCCGAUCCAUCAUCCAAGAUGACCGCCAGCAGGGGACUUAGUUUAACAUAGGACCCUAUGGGAAAUGCAUACAAAUAACUUCUUUUAGAGAACCACUGAAUGGAAUUAAACCAAACAUGGCAUGAAUGUUCCUUAUGAGGUGCUGACCAAGUGUUGUUACUUUGUAGCCGAUCCGUCAUCCAAGAUGGCCGCCAGUGGGGGACUUUUGAAUGAAAUUAAACAUGUUCCUUUCCUUAUAAAUGAGGUUGUGUUGUCACUUUUAGCCAAAUUUUAUAUUUUUUUAUAUGAUUUCAAAAACCCAAGUAGAAUCAGGUGAGCGAUACAGGCUCUUGAGAGCCUCUAGUUAUUUAUGAA
This 916-nucleotide long non-coding RNA is filed under the name Mytilus galloprovincialis (Mediterranean mussel). Lineage: Eukaryota; Metazoa; Mollusca; Bivalvia; Mytilida; Mytilidae. The record is from RNAcentral.